GAUGAACGCUGGCGGCGUGCCUAAUACAUGCAAGUCGAGCGAACAGACGAGGAGCUUGCUCCUCUGACGUUAGCGGCGGACGGGUGAGUAACACGUGGAUAACCUACCUAUAAGACUGGGAUAACUUCGGGAAACCGGAGCUAAUACCGGAUAAUAUAUUGAACCGCAUGGUUCAAUAGUGAAAGACGGUUUUGCUGUCACUUAUAGAUGGAUCCGCGCCGCAUUAGCUAGUUGGUAAGGUAACGGCUUACCAAGGCAACGAUGCGUAGCCGACCUGAGAGGGUGAUCGGCCACACUGGAACUGAGACGCGGACCAGACUCCUACGGGAGGCAGCAGUAGGGAAUCUUCCGCAAUGGGCGAAAGCUUGACGGAGCAACGCCGCGUGAGUGAUGAAGGUCUUCGGAUCGUAAAACUCUGUUAUUAGGGAAGAACAAAUGUGUAAGUAACUAUGCACGUCUUGACGGUACCUAAUCAGAAAGCCACGGCUAACUACGUG
This 497-nucleotide ribosomal RNA is filed under the name uncultured bacterium. Its description in RNAcentral is "partial 16S ribosomal RNA". It matches the Rfam family "Bacterial small subunit ribosomal RNA", at positions 28 to 507 of the family's 1533-position model. The record is from RNAcentral.